This 496-nucleotide ribosomal RNA is filed under the name uncultured bacterium. Its description in RNAcentral is "bacterial SSU rRNA". It matches the Rfam family "Bacterial small subunit ribosomal RNA", at positions 28 to 478 of the family's 1533-position model. The record is from RNAcentral.
GAUGAACGCUGGCGGCGUGCCUAAUACAUGCAAGUCGAACGCAUUGUGGUUGAAAUGAUAUGAAGAACUUGUUCAGAUUUGAUUUUCAACAUUGCAAUGAGUGGCGAACGGGUGAGUAACACGUGGGAAACCUACCUCUUAGCAGGGGAUAACAUUUGGAAACAAAUGCUAACACCGUAUAAUAAUUAAAACCGCAUGGUUUUAGUUUAAAAGAUGGUCUUGCUAUCACUAAGAGAUGGUCCCGCGGUGUAUUAGUUAGUUGGUGAGGUAAUGGCUCACCAAGACAAUGAUACAUAGCCGAGUUGAGAGACUGACCGGCCACAAUGGGACUGAGACACGGCCCAUACUCCUACGGGAGGCAGCAGUAGGGAAUCUUCCACAAUGGACGAAAGUCUGAUGGAGCAACGCCGCGUGUGUGAUGAAGGGUUUCGGCUCGUAAAACACUGUUGUAAGAGAAGAAUGACAUUGAGAGUAACUGUUCAAUGUGUGACGGUAU